AACGAACGCUGCGGCGUGCUUAACACAUGCAAGUCGAACGGAGUGGCGGACGGGUGAGUAAUACAUAGGAAUCUGCCUUAAAGUGGGGACAACCAGGCGAAAGUUUGGCUAAUACCGCAUACUUAUAGAGGAGCCUAUGUUUGAUUAGCUAGUUGGUGGGGUAAAGGCCUACCAAGGCGACGAUCAAUAGCUGGUCUGAGAGGACGAUCAGCCACACUGGGACUGAGACACGGCCCAGACUUCUACGGAAGGCAGCAGUGGGGAAUUUUCCGCAAUGGGCGCAACCUGACGGAGCGACGCCGCGUAUGGGAUGAAGUAUUUAGGUAUGUAAACCAUUGUCAGUGGGGACGCGGUACCCACAGAGGAAGCAUCGGCUAACUACGUGCCAGCAGCCGCGGUAAUACGUAGGAUGCAAGCGUUGUUCGGAAUUACUGGGCGUAAAGAGUACGUAGGCGGUAUGGUAAGUCUGAUAUUAAAGACUGGGGCUUAACUUCAGGAAUGUAUCGGAAACUGCCAAACUAGAGGACAAUAGAGGAAGUCGGAAUUCUCAGUGUAGCGGUGAAAUGCGUAGAUAUUGGGAAGAAGACCAGUGGCGAAAGCGGACUUCUGGGUUGUUACUGACGCUGAGGUACGAAAGCGUGGGGAGCAAACGGGAUUAGAUACCCCGGUAGUCCACGCUGUAAACGAUGGAUACUAGGUGUAGCCCUGUGCCGUAGCUAACGCAAUAAGUAUCCCGCCUGGGGAGUAUGGCCGCAAGGUUGAAACUCAAAGGAAUUGACGGGGACCCGCACAAGCGGUGGAGGAUGUGGUUUAAUUCGACGCAACGCGAAGAACCUUACCAAGGCUUGACAUCCAGGUGGUGCAUGGCUGUCGUUAGCUCGUGUCGUGAGAUGUUGGGUUAAGUCCCGCAACGAGCGCAACCCUCGAUGCUAGUUACGACUCUAGCGUGACUGCCGGUGAUAAGCCGGAGGAAGGUGAGGACGACGUCAAGUCAUCAUGCCCCUUACGUCUUGGGCUACACACGUCCUACAAUGGCAUAGACAAAGGGCUGCAAGCUAGCGAUAGUAAGCGAAUCCCAUAAACUAUGUCUCAGUUCGGAUUGCAGGCUGCAACUCGCCUGCAUGAAGUUGGAAUCGCUAGUAACCGUAGAUCAGCACGCUACGGUGAAUACGCUCCCGGGUCUUGUACACACCGCCCGUCA
RNAcentral lists this ribosomal RNA (1201 nucleotides) under uncultured cyanobacterium. RNAcentral's name for it is "partial 16S ribosomal RNA". It matches the Rfam family "Bacterial small subunit ribosomal RNA", at positions 28 to 1399 of the family's 1533-position model. Lineage: Bacteria; Bacillati; Cyanobacteriota. The record is from RNAcentral.